This 585-nucleotide ribosomal RNA is filed under the name uncultured Paraglomeraceae. Its description in RNAcentral is "SSU rRNA". It matches the Rfam family "Eukaryotic small subunit ribosomal RNA", at positions 624 to 1213 of the family's 1831-position model. Lineage: Eukaryota; Fungi; Glomeromycota; Glomeromycetes; Paraglomerales. The record is from RNAcentral.
AAGCUCGUAGUUGAAUUUCGGGCCUGGCUGGACGGUCCGCCCUUCGGGUGAGUACUGUCUGUGGUCGGGUCCUACCUUCUGGCGAAGCGUCAUGGCCUUAACCGGCCGUGGCGGGGAACCAGGACUUUUACUGUGAAAAAAUUAGAGUGUUCAAAGCAGGCAAUCGCUUGGAUACAUUAGCAUGGAAUAAUGGAAUAGGACAAUGGUUCUAUUUGUUGGUUUCUAGGACCGUUGUAAUGAUUAAUAGGGAUAGUUGGGGGCAUUAGUAUUCAAUUGUCAGAGGUGAAAUUCUUGGAUUUAUUGAAGACUAACUACUGCGAAAGCAUUUGCCAAGGAUGUUUUCAUUAAUCAAGAACGAAAGUUAGGGGAUCGAAGACGAUCAGAUACCGUCGUAGUCUUAACCAUAAACUAUGCCGACUAGGAAUCGGGCGAUGUUGAAAAAAUGACGCGCUCGGCACCUCAUGGGAAACCAAAGUGUUUGGGUUCCGGGGGGAGUAUGGUCGCAAGGCUGAAACUUAAAGGAAUUGACGGAAGGGCACCACCAGGGGUGGAGCCUGCGGCUUAAUUUGACUCAACACGGGAAAA